UACAGAGGUCCCGAGCGUUGUUCGGAUUCACUGGGCGUAAAGGGUGCGUAGGUGGUCGGGUAAGUCUGAGGUGAAAUCUCCGAGCCCAACUCGGAAACUGCCUUGGAUACUAUUCGGCUAGAGGGUUGGAGGGGGGACUGGAAUUCCCGGUGUAGCAGUGAAAUGCGUAGAUAUCGAGAGGAACACCAGUGGCGAAGGCGAGUCCCUGGACAACUCCUGACACUGAGGCACGAAAGCUAGGGGAGCAAACAGG
RNAcentral lists this ribosomal RNA (253 nucleotides) under uncultured bacterium. RNAcentral describes it as "partial 16S ribosomal RNA". It matches the Rfam family "Bacterial small subunit ribosomal RNA", at positions 524 to 776 of the family's 1533-position model. The record is from RNAcentral.